AAUGAACGCUGGCGGCAUGCCUAACACAUGCAAGUCGAACGAAGGCUUCGGGCUUAGUGGCGCACGGCUGCGUAACGCGUGGGAAUCUGCCCGUGGGUUCGGAAUCCCAGUCAGAAAUGACUGCUAAUACCGGAUGAUGUCGUAAGACCAAAGAGUUAGCGCCCAAGGAUGAGCCCGCGUAGGAUUAGCUAGUUGGUGGGGUAAAGGCCUACCAAGGCGACGAUCCUUAGCUGGUCUGAGAGGAUGAUCAGCCACACUGGGACUGAGACACGGCCCAGACUCCUACGGGAGGCAGCAGUGGGGUAUAUUGGACGAUGGGCGAUAGCCUGAUCCAGCAAUGCCGCGUAAGUGAUGAAGGCGUUAGGGUUGUAAAGCUCUUUUACCCGGGAUGAUAAUGACGGUACCGGGAGAAUAAGCACCGGCUAACUUCGUG
Molecule: ribosomal RNA, 433 nt
Filed under: uncultured bacterium
Lineage: Bacteria
Description: partial 16S ribosomal RNA
Rfam family: Bacterial small subunit ribosomal RNA
Source: RNAcentral